AUGAUGGUGGAGCGUUUGAAGCAGGACGGCACUUCACACAACUCCAGAGAUCUGUUGAAGAUCUGUGAAAAGAUGGGGGCCAAUUGGUCAGCACAGGUUCUCAGACAGGCUGGUGUAACACCAUCUGGGCCUGGUGCUUUUCUUCUUUUGUUCUUCCUGGAUGUGGGGUGUUUCAAAUCUACAAUAAAACUCAUUCAGGUCGUUAGCAAGUCGUUGAUUAGCCUCAGUGCAGGGAGAUGGUGUCUUGUAGAUGGUGAUGGCUCUCAGUCCUCUCCACACUGAAGUUGAGUCGUUGGAAGUAAACUGGUCUUCCAACUUUUUAGAGUAGGUCCUUUUAGCCGCUCUAAUCUCUUUGUUCAGUGUGUUUCUGGCCUGAUUAUACAAGACUCUGUCCCCAUUUCUGUAGGCAUCCUCUUUGGCCUGACGAAGAUGUCUGAGUUUUGCUGUAAACCAUGGCUUAUCGUUGUUGAAUGUUAAAUAAGUCCUGGUAGGAAUACAUAUAUCCUCACAAAAACUAAUAUAGGAUGUUACAGUCUCUGUGAGUUCAUCCAGAUCGGUGGUAGCAGCUUCAAAAACACUCCAAUCAGUGAGGUCAAAACAAGCUUGUAAAUCCUGCUCUGUUUCGUUGGUCCAUCUCUUUAUAGUCUUUACUACAGGUUUAGCAGAUUUAAGUUUCUGCCUGUAGGUUGGUAUAAGAUGAACCAGACAGUGAUCAGACAGUCCCAAAGCUGCUCGUGGAACAGAGUGAUAUGCAUCCCUUAUUGUGGUGUAACAGUGAUCCAAUAUAUUACUGUCUCUUGUGGGACAUGUAACAUGCUGUCUGUAUUUUGGCAGUUCACGGGAGAGAUUGGCUUUAUUAAAGUCCCCAAGAAUGAUUAAAACAGAGUACGGGUGUUGUUGUUCUGUCUCUGUGAUCUGGUCAGCGAGUUUCUGUAAAGCCAGGCUUACAUGCGCUUGAGGAGGGAUGUAAACGCUCACCAGAAUGAACGAGUGAAACUCCCGCGGCGAAUAGAAUGGCUUGCAGUUGACAAAAAGCACUUCUAGAUCUGAACAGCACAUCUUCUUUAACACAGUUACAUCUGUGCACCACCGUUCAUUGAUAUAAAACAUGUCCCGCCGCCGCGUGAUUUCCCCGUUGAUUCUGCGUCGCGGUCCGCUCUGAACAGCUGAAAGCCCGGCAGAUGGAGCGCGCUGUCCGGUAUGGCGUCAUUGAGCCAGGUUUCCGUGAAACACAGAGCAGCAGAGUGUGAUAAAUCCUUAUUUGUCCGGGAAAGCAGAAGGAGUUCAUCCGUUUUGUUGGGUAGAAAGCGGAGAUUUGCCAGAUGGAUGCUAGGCAGCGGCGUUCGAAAUCCGCGCUUCCUGAGUCUAACGAACUCACCAGCUCGCUUUCCCCGUUUGCGCUUUUUGAAGCGUUUGAUCAGCGCCGCUGCUCCACCGACAACAACGUUCAGUAAAACGUCCGAAUAAUUGAAAUCCGGUAAAAGAUUUUCUGGUGUGUUCUGCCGAAUGUUCAGCAGGUCAUCCCUGGUGAAACUGAUCGUGUUUGACAAACAAAAAACAGGAAAAAACGAACAAAAACAGUACAAACACUGGAGAGCCAAGCACUGAAGCAGCCGUCUGCGGCGCCAUAUGUAAAUAAAUGGUGAAAAUCACUUACUGAGAAACAAUUACCAUCUGAACAGAUUUCUUAUGCAUCUCACAACAAGCAAGAGUAGCCUAGUUAUAACUACAAAAGACAAAAGCCUUCUUUAUUUAACAUUUUCUGAUAAGAAGUGUGCGCUAUAAACGCAAGCAAUUUAUGACAGAGAUACUCCAGCAACAGUAAAAAAGUCAUCUGUGUCAGGAGUUCAACCGAAAACAAUCAAAGGAAAAACGGGACAUCAUACCUUUCUUCUUCUUCUUCUUCUUAUAUGGCCAUUCACUCCUUUGGAGUAUUACCGCCACCUACUGUAUAGCUUAUUUACUUGCAUGGGUGAUGUAUCUGUAUAAUUUUUAUUUAAUUGCCCCACCCACCCCCAAAGGAUCAGAUCCCAUGCUUUAACUGGCGCUGCGUGUUCAGCUCCUCCAGCUUCCACAGUAGGCUCCUCACUCUCUGAGAUGGAUGAAAGCAUUACUACAUCUAUAUCCUAUACUCUAAUCCUGUACACUUUAAAAAGGUUAAAACCGCCAUAUAUACCUGAUUAUCUCGCAAACCCUUUCCCAAAAGGUCCACUACACUCACUGGUUUAUUCUUUAUGUUGCUGAAAAGACUAUUACGCUCAUCAUGAUAUUUAUUACACUUAAAAAAACACAUGCUCUAUUGUUUCUAAUACAUCACACGCAACACACAUACCAUUUUCAUGCUUCCCCAUUAUUGCAAGUGUUGAAUUUAAUCAUGAAUGUCCAAACCUUAAUCUUCAUAUCAUAACUUCUUCCUUUCUAUGUCUUCCAUAAUACUGUUCAUUUUUCCGUACUGAUUUUUCAAUAUUAUAAUACCAACUGCCUGUACUACUAUUUUCCCAUCUUUGUUGCCACAGUUUUAUUAUUUCCUUAUUUAUCACUGAUUUUAUCUCACUUCUUCCCAGGGGUACCUUAAUAUCCACCAAGAUUUUCUUUAAUGCUUCUUUUGCUAAUUGAUCAGCCUUUUCGUUCCCUAUUAUCCCUAUGUGUGCUGGUACCCAACAGAAAUAUACUACUAUACCCUCUGCUUUCAGUCUGUAUAAUAAUGUAUAAAUUUCCACCAACAGGUCUUCUCUAUCAGUUUUUGUUGACAUUAUACUUUUGAGAGCUGAUGAAGAGUCUGAACAAAUUACAACCCUAUUUGGCUUAACCUGUUCAACCCACUGCAAUCCUACUAUUAUAGCACUUAAUUCUGUGGAAUAUACAGAUAAUUUAUCACUUAAUCUUAAGAUUAUUUGUGAUUUAAAUCUGGGAAUAUACACUCCUAUACCCACUUUCUGACUCACUGGGUCUUUAGAUCCAUCUGUAUAAAUCUGUAUAAAAGAAUAAAAUGUUUCUCUCAUAAAACCACUGAUUUCAAAACUAUUACUAUACACUUCUUCUUUAUCCCGGGCAUCUAAUAAUCUCAUUUCAACAACAGGUUCAGUAAUAUUCCAUACUGAUACACCAUGUAGUGGUAUAUUAGGACAGAUAACUUCAUCCUUCAGGUCACACUCCUUGAACCAUUGCUCAUAUUUCCAUCCAAAACUAUUUCCUCCAUUCUUUUUAUAUUCCCAGCAAUCUUUUAAAACUGUUCAUGUAUGGUGAUUUCUUUCACUUCCCUGUAGAUUAACCCAAUACAUCAAAGACAUUUUCUCUCUUCUCAAAUCUAAUGGCAUCUCCCCCAUUUCAACCCUGAUGGCAUCUACAGGGGUUGAUCUUAUUGCCCCACAACAGAUUCUAAGUGCUUUAGAUUGAAUAUUUUCCAAUUUCUUCAUCUCUAAUUUAGAUCCAGCCCCAUACACUGUACAUCCAUAAUCUAUACUAGAGCGCAUUAAUGCUUGAUAUACAUGCAAUAAUGAUCUCUUGCUUGCUCCC
Molecule: long non-coding RNA, 3516 nt
Organism: Cyprinus carpio carpio
Lineage: Eukaryota; Metazoa; Chordata; Actinopteri; Cypriniformes; Cyprinidae
Source: Ensembl